UGCCCAGCAUCUCCUAUUCCUACCUCCUCGCGGUACUGGCCCGGGUACGAGCAACAUUAAGAAAGAUCAGAUAACUAACCCCUGUGGGAACUUUGGUCGUAUGCUGACAGGGUAGG
This 116-nucleotide ribozyme is filed under the name Aedes aegypti (yellow fever mosquito). RNAcentral's name for it is "drz-agam-1 ribozyme". It matches the Rfam family "drz-agam-1 ribozyme". The record is from Rfam by way of RNAcentral. Lineage: Eukaryota; Metazoa; Arthropoda; Insecta; Diptera; Culicidae.